Non-coding RNA from Schizosaccharomyces pombe (fission yeast), 231 nucleotides. The record is from the annotation of a GenBank genome assembly. Lineage: Eukaryota; Fungi; Ascomycota; Schizosaccharomycetes; Schizosaccharomycetales; Schizosaccharomycetaceae.
CAGAUUCUUCUGCAGUAUCCUUAGUCACUUCAGAAGGUAAAUCCACUAUUUCCACAACUAAAGACUCGGGUCGUUCUAUAGUUGUAUCUUUUUUCACCUUGGUAUCGUCGUUCCUACUAGAAUUUUGUUUCUUAGAUAUAUUAUUGGAGUUCUGCUUCAAUUUAGGGGAUGAAUCAUCGACUUUUAUUCUGUUACCGCCUAAAUAUUUGUAUCCUAUCCAUGAUUGCUCGA